CAACAGCGCAUGUUAAAGCUGUUGCGGUCAAAAAGCUCGCAGUUGGGUUUCUGUCUAGGGCGGCCGGUGCCCACUGCGCGAAGCAUCUGGUUCAGUCUGGACAUCCUCGUGGGGUCGUUCCUGUGCUUGAUUGCAUGGGGCGGGGUUCAGGGCUUUUGCUUUGAGGAAAUCAGAGCGCUCACGGCUAGCUUUCGCUUUGAGCGCAUUAGCAUGGGAUGGUGUUAAUAAUGUAGGGCGCGAGUUCUGCUUUUUGGGUUUCUAGAACAUGCGCAGUGAUUAACAGCGAUAGUUGGGGGCGCUCGUAUUAACACGUCAGAGGUGGAAUUCUUAGACUGCGUUACGACGAACUGCUGCGGGUCGCCCGUCCUGGUGCCGUGCGGGUCGCGGUCGUAUGCGCUCCGAUCAGGUUUGGGGGCGUAGAUCGUCGCUUCCCAAGGACGUUCUGAUUGAUCAAGAACGAAAGCAUGGGGAUCGAAGACGA
RNAcentral lists this ribosomal RNA (481 nucleotides) under uncultured eukaryote. Its description in RNAcentral is "bacterial SSU rRNA". It matches the Rfam family "Eukaryotic small subunit ribosomal RNA", at positions 592 to 1007 of the family's 1831-position model. The record is from RNAcentral.